Molecule: long non-coding RNA, 222 nt
Filed under: Elaeis guineensis (African oil palm)
Lineage: Eukaryota; Viridiplantae; Streptophyta; Magnoliopsida; Arecales; Arecaceae
Description: long non-coding RNA (EGUI_LNC069630)
Source: RNAcentral
GCAUGGUGAUUUGUAAGUAACUCACUGUACUUUAGUACCAGACCAUCUGAGUUUCUAACUUAAUGAUGGAAGGAUACUAGGUGCAGUCAACCACUUAUCAAGUCGGUGUGUGAGUCAAGAUGGAAUUGACUCCUCUGAAUUGAUAGGAGAUAUGCAUCAGUGUAUUUCAAUUUAGCAAAAUCUUGGCUAGGAUAAUCCAUGAGAUGGAUUUAAAAGGUUGAA